CAACCGGAUGUAGCAAUAUUAGCUUUACUGGCUAAGAGAAAAACGUCUUGGAGUUUGUGUAAAACAAGGAUUUAAUAAUAAAUUUAUUACCAGUCAUUGGGAAUAUAUUACCUCUGGAUAUCUGUUUUGGAUGGUUGCGAUCAUUUCUAGAUGAAAUUUGCGUCACAGAAUGUAAUUAGCCUUUAUUAGCAACAUGAUUAGACUUUCACCUGAAGAAGAGAAUCAGUGUUUUCGAGGUUGAAGCAUGUAAUAGUUCACAGCUCAGUUAUUUAAGACAAGUCUACAUGCUGAGUUUGUGAGACUGUGCGGGGAGGACCACAUCGUCUGUGGACACCACCUCUAACGCUGUUGUCCAGCUGAGGAUCGAGAGACUGGGGACACCGAGGACUACCAGUCAAGACAUCAGACUCUGCUCUGGAGGAUCGCUUCAGCUCUGCGACAGGCUGGUUUAUGUUUGACUCCAGUUUCAGACAGCGGAAAUACAGAAGAUACGGCUUAUAUGACUGAACAUGUGAAGGUUGAAGACAAGGAUUGCGAAAAGGAGAAUCCCAGGUGAAGCGAGGAUUUGUGAGAUGAUGAAGGUUGAAGCAGAUGGACCUGGGUCCAGUUUAGAGACCCCCAGACCUGCAGCAUCCACAUCAGACCUGGAGGAAACACAGGACGGCAAAAAUCUCAACUAUCACAAGUUGGUGAUUAAAGAAGAGGCCCUCCCAGACUGGAGCUCCAGUUUAGACCAGCAGGACCCAGAACACCCCCACAUAAAGGAGGAAGAUGAGGAACUGAGGAUUAGUCAGGAGGAAGAGCAGCCUUCUGUGAAGAGUGAGGAUGAAGAGAAACCUCCGUUAUCAAAGUCUAAGGAAAUCAAAACUGAAGACAACAGAGACACCGGAGCUUCAACCAGCGGCUCAACUGAACAGAUAGAAAUAGAACUAGACGGAGAGGACUGCAUGGAACCAAAACCACACAGAAACCUGGAUCCAGCCUGUUCUCAAAAGAACAAGACAACGAUUCACAAUAAAGGUAAAAGAUCUAAACUGCAUUCAAAAUUCACAGGACUGAUUGGAGUUCACGCUGGAGAGAAGCCAUUUGGGUGCAAUGUCUGUGGUGAAAGAUUCAAAAAGAAGUCUCAUGUUAAAGUGCACAUUAUGACACACACAGGAAAUGAAGAACAUGGCUGCGGUCUUUGUGGGAAAGUAUUUAAAAAAAAGAGUUACCUUCAGAUACAUAUGAGACUUCACACUGGUGAGAGACCAUUUGCCUGUGAUGAUUGUGGUAGAACAUUUCAUAGAAAGACCAUUCUUAAGAACCACCUGGCAGUCCAUUCAGGAGAAAAACCAUUUUCCUGUGAUGUCUGUGGUACAAGAUUUAAAAGAGAGAAAUCUCUCAAAAACCACAUGUGGUUGAUUCACACUGCAAAGAAGCCAUUUUCUUGUACUGUUUGCAGUAAACGAUUUUCACAAGAAGAACAUCUGAAGAGUCACAUGGGUGUUCACACAGGAGAGAAACAGUUUGUGUGUGGCUUUUGUAGUAAGGGAUUUUCACUGAAAUCAAAUCUUAAGACACACAUGCGUGUUCACACCGGAGAGAAACCUUUUACCUGCAAUAUUUGUAGUAAGGAGUUCUCUAGACAAGAUCAUCUAAAGAGCCACAUUCGUGUUCAUACGGGAGAAAAACAAUUUAUUUGUGGGGUUUGUAAUAAAGAGUUUGCACUAAAACAGAAUCUAAAGACACACAUGCGUGUUCACUCAGGUGAGAAACCGUUCACUUGCAGCAUUUGUAGUAAAGGAUUUUCUCAACAAAAUCGUCUCAAAAGUCACAUGAGUGUUCACACAGGAGAGAAACCUUUUGUCUGUAGCAUCUGUAAUAAAGAAUUUUCACAGCAGCGCAAUCUAAAAAUUCAUAUGCAUAUACAUACAGGGGAGCAGCCAUUUCUUUGCAGCAUUUGUGGUAAAGGAUUUUCACUGCAAAGGAAUCUUAAGAUUCACAUUCGCAUUCACACUGGGGAGAAACCAUUUGUUUGUAGUUUUUGUAGUAAAGGCUUUUCACGGCAAGAUUAUUUAAAAAGUCACAUGCGUGUUCAUACGGGAGAGAAACCAUUUGUUUGUGGUGUUUGUAAUAAAGGAUUUACGCAACAACAAAAUCUGAAAAGACACAUGGAGGCUCACACUCCAUGAUUCAGGUGUAGUGAAUGUUUAGGUGGGGUAAAUAAAGAUAAAUCUACAUGUGCAACUCCUUUCAGGGGAGCAAUAAUUGUAAUAUGUGUAAACUCAGAUGAAAUCAAUAAACAUAUCUUGAAUUUCACAUGAUAUGUAGUCUCUACUACGGUGCAUUUCACAAACUGGAAAUCUAAAAAGAUCUAUCUAUCUAUCUAUCUAUCUAUCUAUCUAUCUAUCUAUCUAUCUAUCUAUCUAUCUAUCUAUCUAUCUAUCUAUCUAUCUAUCUAUCUAUCUAUCUAUCUAUCUGGAGACGUUUCAGUUAAAGUGAAACAGGAGCCUUUGGUACUGAUAAAUUAUGUGUUCAACUACAACAAUCUUCCAAUUAAUCAAAUGCUUAAUCACAAAUAAGAAAGCACUUUUGGUUCUGAUCUUUGUAAAUAACACUUUAAGAAAAACGCCCAUACCUUUUUAAGGACUCCAUCACUUUUUAACAAUCGUUUCCCAGUCCAUGAACCACACUGACCAGCAGGUUUGAAAUAUUUUCCAUCUUUAACAAACCUGGGGUUACAUUAAAAUGACCAUGAAGUCAUCAGCAAACUUCUUCAAAAGUUUGUCAUAAAUAGUGGGAGGGCACUGAUUGAUUUUUAUUUUAUUUGAACAGUUUCUAAAGUUUAUUCAAUCCUAAGUGUAAAUAUUAAGAGGAUUCUUUUUUAUUUAUUUUUUUCUACCUACUCCUGGAAUCACUGAGCUCCUAACAACAGAAUCACAAGGUGGCAACAAUGCGUCAACUGUCAGUAAUUACAGCUCCUCACUGAUGUACAUAUAAACUUCUAUUUUCCGAUACGGGGUGUAGUUUAGAUGCACAUGUAAAUGUAAAGGCGCUAGAAUCACGCGAGCUCUGAAACAAAUAGUUUCACUUUGUCCUGAACAUCAUGUCUUUCUGACUCCUGCAAAGUAAAUGUUUGUUAGCAGUUACUGAUGUCAUCAUCUUGGCAGAACUUGAUCACUACAGUUUGUCCUUCCCAUUUUCCUGUUUAUAGAAAAAACAUGUUUUCAUGUUACCUUGUACAAAAUUAUGUGCUUUACUGAAAAGAUUUAUUUAAAGAAAAACUGUUACGCCUGGGUAUAAAUAAUAUUUAAAAUGUGUGCACAUUCAGCAUUGUAUUCUUUUUUAUAAUAAAUGUAAUUUAAUUUCAUGUUUAUUCAGUAAAUGCCCUGAGGUUAGUCUUUUUAAUCAGGGCCACGAAAACAAAGUGAAAUUACAUUAAAACAUUUUAUAAAUAAGACUCUGUUUCACUACUUUCCCAUUUGUGCGCUUUGUUCUGAAAGGUUGAAAGAGGAAGUGGAUAUAGAAGUAGCUACGGUUGCAUUAGACAUUAGAAAUCUCUCAGAUUCUCCAUUUAAUUAUUGUUUGUUCUUUCUAUCGGUAGUUUGCUGCACAGAAUGUCAUUAAUUUUUAUAAACAACAUAAAUAGACUUUUCGCUAAACUAGAGACUGAAUCAAUGUUUUCGAUAUUGAAGUUUUUAAAAGUUCAGGCUGUAGUGCUUUACGAGUCAACCCUGAGUUUAUGACACUGUGGGAAACCUACCUCUUGAUGUUGCUUCAAAAAUACCUUGUUUUAGAUCAAUUCAUUUUUAUCACAGUACACUUUAAUAUGUAUUUUUCAGAUUUAUUUAAAGUGAAAUAAUGGAGUCUCAGUUCCACAUAAAAAAUUAAGUAUAAAUUAUUUAGGACUGCCUCUUUUAAAUCAGAUUAUUUUUUAAAUAUCUACACAAUGGUAUAAUUAAAAAGAAUGAAGGAAAAUUCGCCAGUUGUGUGAACGUAGCCUUUUACAAGCUUUACACACAGAAUAUGUUUAUUUUGUGUAACGUUACCACACACGGUUAAUGAAUGUCACCAACCUAAGAACCAGGAAUUUUCUUAGUAUUACUUUCUGUGUCGAAUAUUAUACCACGAAAAUGCAGAAUGUUCAUGUAAAUAGAAGAACAUCAUUUUGUUAAUUAAUUCUCAUCCCAUUGAACACCUCAGUAAGGGCUUUUUAUUGAACCUGAGAAGAGGUUGUUUUCCUUUUCUUUUGAAUCCAUUGUUAUACUUUUGUUUUGAAAGUCUCCAUCCCAAGCAGCGUGGGCAUAACCACUGCGCAUGCGCGCCCCGUGGAGACUCCUGCGGUCUGCAGGUAGUCGCUUUUGAACGAGUCGUUUUGUCCUUUAAGAUCAUCAGAUUGCGGGCCGUACGUGCUGCUUCCAGGUGAGUGGGUUUGGGUCAGAGCUCCAGCAGGAUUCAGAUGCUGCCUCAGUUUGAUGAUUCAUAGCUGAAACCUUGAUCUACUAGGACAUGUGAAGGUUGUAAACAAGGAUCGCGAAGUCUAAGACGAGUGAGGAUGUCUGAAAUGAUGAAGGUUGAAGCAGAUGAACCUGGAGUGUUCAGCUCGGAGCCCCUCAUACCUGCAGCAUCCGCAUCAGAACUGGAGCAGAAACAAGACAACAAAGAUCUCAUCCAUCAGAUGUUUGUGAUUAAAGUGGUUCCCCAUGACUGGAGCCUGAGUUUGAACCAGCAGGAUCCAGAUGACUCUCGCAUAAAGGAGGAGGAAGAGGAACUGUGGAUCAGUCACGAGGAAGAGCAGCUUACUGUCAAGAUUGAAGAUGAAGAGAAACCCGAACUUUAUGAGAUCAAAGCAGACGACA
RNA transcript from Xiphophorus hellerii (green swordtail), 4841 nucleotides. It is a transcript of the gene named gastrula zinc finger protein XlCGF8.2DB-like, with no coding region annotated. NCBI's taxonomy places the organism in Eukaryota, Metazoa, Chordata, Actinopteri, Cyprinodontiformes, Poeciliidae. The record is from RefSeq and is a predicted model, not a curated record. The transcript has 4 exons.